ACAAGGAGGUCAGCCAACAGGACUUGGAGGUCAGUUAGAUGCCAGUGCUGGGGCGUGGAGGGGUCAGGGUGGACUGCGGCGUCCAGCCAGGGUCCAGCAGGAAGCCUGCGAUGUGGAGGAACUGAGUCCUGAGUCAGCUAAGUACACAAUCCAAACAGGCCAGGAGCUCCCGCCAGCCCUCUGGGUCAGCCCAGUGCCCAGAGCCGAGAGGCAAGGUCCUGUCCCAGCCUUCCAGACUUCCUCCUGGAAAGACACAAGAAGCCGGAACCACAAGCUUGGCAUGCCCCCACCCAGACUUUUCCUCUCUCUGCCACAUUCCAGUGGCCCCAGGACCUGCCGGGGCCCUCCACUCCAUCUUCAGUUCCCUGGCUUUAAACCCAGUCCGCCUUCAAUCUCCAGGAUCAGGGGAGGGGCGACCCCCUACCAUUGACCACCCACUGCCCUCAAGGCAUCAACUGCCUAGGAGAUCAAGGACCGCAUGGUAACUGCCAUCUUGCCAUCAGACCCUCUCUCCUGGCACUCAGCCUUCCUCCAUCUAAUCCUGGCUCUCCCUGCAUUAAAAAGCCCCCACUGCGUUCCCUCCCCUGCACCAUUCAGUGCCCGGCCCUCCCUCUGUCUCCCUCCUCUGCCUCCCACCCCACCGAUCUGUGCCCUUUUCUUCUCCACAGCAGCCACCAGGCAGUGAGCGCGCCUCCAGCCUGGCCACUGGCCUGCGUCCCUGUAGCCCGGCCGGCCCGUGGCUCGGGCCCACCUGGCGCCCCAGCCGCCGGGCUGGCGCCGCCCGGUUGUCUAGACCGGUCCAGGCCGCCCCGCCCCCGCGCUCCUCCGCCGCGGCCACAGCUCGCGCGCGCGCGGCCCACAUUCGCUUCCCUUCGGCGCCCCCCCGGCCCCGGCGCUGCCUGGAGGCGGCUGCACUCGGGUGAGUCCCCGUCGCCUCAUCCCCGCUCGCCCCCCCAACCCCGGCCCCGGCUGCCAUCUCGAGCGGGGCUUUUAUUUUGAGACUCGCCCCCUCCCUCCGUGGGGGGUGCUGCACGGACAGCGCGGGGAUCUGGG
RNAcentral lists this long non-coding RNA (1053 nucleotides) under Capra hircus (goat). Its description in RNAcentral is "lncRNA (ENSCHIG00010027047.1)". Lineage: Eukaryota; Metazoa; Chordata; Mammalia; Artiodactyla; Bovidae. The record is from RNAcentral.